GCAGCAACAAAGGGGGUUAAAUUCCGAGAAGAAGAAGCUCGAACCAGCGCUGUAGAUGGAGAAAAAUGACAGAAAUUGAGGCUUUAAUCAAGUUUAAUUGUGGUUUAAUUAGCCGGGUAGUGCCAGCGUGGGUCCGAGCAAGGGAGUCAGCAUCUAGCAGCAAAGUCGGUAUGGUGUACAGGCAGUCCCGUCAAUUCCUGUCAACUCUAAUGUUUGAGAAGGAUUUAAUCUAUCAUUUUGUACUAUGCCAGGUCUUUUCUCGAGUCUCGUGUAUGUCGGCACAAGAAUUUGUGUUUAUUUAUUUAUCUUGUGACCGUUGUGUUAGCGGGGUACUCGUAGUGCAUGCAUGUCUUGAGCUUUGCUUC
Long non-coding RNA from Diospyros lotus (date-plum), 365 nucleotides. RefSeq lists it as uncharacterized. The transcript is spliced from 2 exons. Lineage: Eukaryota; Viridiplantae; Streptophyta; Magnoliopsida; Ericales; Ebenaceae. The record is from RefSeq and is a predicted model, not a curated record.